AGGAACGAAGCAACGCUGCAAGGGACAGAUUCCGCGGUGUGGUCACAUGUUGCUCUACGAGCACGGCCCCAGCACACGCUGACGCAGCAGUGCCUUACUUCGCUGCCGUCCCUGCCCGACUCGCUUGCCCGUUUUCCAGUGCGGCGUGCCAAGGUCUUCCUUGGCGUAGCCGGCUAACCUCCGAAGAGGGCCUCUCCGCACACCCACCGGGUUGCACGUGCCUGCUUUGUUUGUUUCCUGGCAUGUCGUGCACUUGUCCUCUGCUCGUUUGCACCACUCUCUCUCUCUCUGAAGACCAGCUUGCUGUGUUGCUGUUGAGGGCGGGUCACGGAGCAGGGAAAAUUAGGGAUUACAAGGGAUGCGUACAUGACGCUCAAGUCGCAUCGUCAGGCAGGAUUGGGGGAGAGGUUUGGCGUAGGAAUGCACAUACAUAUAUGCUUUCAUGUGCCGUAUUCCGCGCUUGAUGGGUGGUUGAGGUCAUUUUUUCCCUCAUUCCGAGUACCUCUCCCUGCCGAAGAAACGAAGUCGUGUGUUAUUGAACACGCCGCUUUUCUUUCCUUGAGCGUGUCUGCUGUGCUGUUGCUCAUGAGUCCCUUUCCUCGUCGCUCGUUACGGCACUACUGUGCUCUCCGCUCCAGCGCGCGUGCGCGCAUGCGUCUGCUUCACUAUGAGGAGAAGCGAGAAGCGUUGUGGACAAGUGUACGGGGCCGGAAAAAAA
This 718-nucleotide unclassified non-coding RNA is filed under the name Leishmania donovani. RNAcentral describes it as "gene:unknown". Lineage: Eukaryota; Euglenozoa; Kinetoplastea; Trypanosomatida; Trypanosomatidae. The record is from RNAcentral.